GGCUGUUCAUCGGGGUGCCGGCCAGGGCGUCCGGGAGCGGCGCCUUCACCGGAGGCUUGCUUUCGGCGAGGAGAGAGAGCGGCGGUUGAGGUUAUCAGAUGAGAAAACAUAGCUUGUAUGUGACUUCAGAAGUUUCAAGCCAACUAGACCAACUCUAAAAUAUGGAAAAUCAGCAAAAUAAUGAAGACAUCUAUUUUCUUAUAGAAACUUAUCUGAAGCAAAAUAGUUACUACCAGAAGGAAGCUGAAAAAAGCCUAGAAACAAUUUCAGCCAAUAAAUCCUUAAUCUUUUUGCCAAGAGGAGAACUUUUUAGAAUAUAGUCAUUUAUAGUACAUUAUGGAGAAUGAAGAUACAAGACUAUAAGUAACAUUCCCUCACAAAACAUUGAAGAACAGUUAAGGAGAAAACAGCUUGCAGAAUUUAGCAUGAGAUCUACCUAAGCCAAAUCCUCCAAGAGUACUUGUAGAUGAAAUUGGAAGGAGAACAACACAGAGAUACAAAUGGAAUAGAUACACCAGUAUUAGUAAUCAUCUAAGAUAAACUUUUGGAUACUAACACCUCACUACUAGAUUUACAAUUUGAGAAAAUUGCAGUGAUACUUAAAAUGAUGAAUUUGGGAUGGAAGAAAUCAGUAGUAGAGAAAAUACAAUUUUGAAGAUAAGCAGGGAUCAAUUUUCCAGAUAUCUCAAAUAUGGAAAAAUUUCAAAAGAAUGAAGAUCACAGAUGGUGCUUAAAUAAAAAAGACAACAAAAUAAUCAGCAAUUACCAAUCCAUAUGAUUAUAUUCUUGUCUCUGUAAAACCUAUGUUCAUCUUGUGAUUUAAAAAGAACCUUUUCUCCUAAUAACUCUGGAAGGUAGUGAAAAUAUUGGGAUCUUCAUUUUAUAGAUGGAAAUUGAGGCUCGGAGAUAUUAAAUGAUUUGUGCAUGUUUACCCAGAUAGUAAGUAUCUGAUCCAGAACUCAAGCUCAGAUCUUCAUCACUAAUUUAUAAUAUAUUAUGUUGGUCUUAUACAUACAUUGAAAAAUAUCCUUGAUAAAAAUAGAAGAGGACAGGUCUUCAUAAGUAACAUUUGAAAGGACACUACAUCUGUUAUCUCUAAACGAAUUAUCUGAGUGGUAUAGAGAAGAUCCUAUUGUGUCUGUUGUUUUUUGACCUUUAUAGUAAUUAACUUGAUAGGACAAAAUGCAGCUCUCCAACAUUAACCGUGGCAUGUUAAAAAGGACUAAAAUAAAUAUAAUUGUUAAAAUAA
Molecule: long non-coding RNA, 1249 nt
Organism: Antechinus flavipes (yellow-footed antechinus)
Lineage: Eukaryota; Metazoa; Chordata; Mammalia; Dasyuromorphia; Dasyuridae
Exons: 2
Source: RefSeq, a predicted model, not a curated record